This 562-nucleotide ribosomal RNA is filed under the name uncultured bacterium. Its description in RNAcentral is "bacterial SSU rRNA". It matches the Rfam family "Bacterial small subunit ribosomal RNA", at positions 119 to 674 of the family's 1533-position model. The record is from RNAcentral.
AGGAAUCUGCCUAUUAAUGGGGGACAACAUCUCGCAAGGGAUGCUAAUACCGCAUACGCCCUACGGGGGAAAGCAGGGGAUCACUUGUGACCUUGCGUUAAUAGAUGAGCCUAAGUCGGAUUAGCUAGUUGGUGGGGUAAAGGCCUACCAAGGCGACGAUCUGUAGCGGGUCUGAGAGGAUGAUCCGCCACACUGGGACUGAGACACGGCCCAGACUCCUACGGGAGGCAGCAGUGGGGAAUAUUGGACAAUGGGGGGAACCCUGAUCCAGCCAUGCCGCGUGUGUGAAGAAGGCCUUAUGGUUGUAAAGCACUUUAAGCGAGGAGGAGGCUCUCUUGGUUAAUACCCAAGAUGAGUGGACGUUACUCGCGGAAUAAGCACCGGCUAACUCUGUGCCAGCAGCCGCGGUAAUACAGAGGGUGCGAGCGUUAAUCGGAUUUACUGGGCGUAAAGCGUGCGUAGGCGGCUUUUUAAGUCGGAUGUGAAAUCCCCGAGCUUAACUUGGGAAUUGCAUUCGAUACUGGGAAGCUAGAGUAUGGGAGAGGAUGGUAGAAUUCCAGGU